CCGCCCGAGUACUACGAGCACUAGCUUAAAACUCAAAGGACUUGGCGGUGCUCCAGACCCACCUAGAGGAGCCUGUUCUAGAACCGAUAAUCCCCGUUCAACCUCACCAUCCCUUGUUUUCUCCCGCCUAUAUACCGCCGUCGCCAGCUUACCCUGCAAAGGCUAAAUAGUAAGCAAAACGGGCACAGCCCAAAACGUCAGGCCGAGGUGUAGCGCACGAGAUGGGAAGAAAUGGGCUACAUUUUCUAUAAUAGAAUAUUCUACAAACGGCGCCCUGAAACACGCGCCCGAAGGUGGAUUUAGUAGUAAAAAGCAAAUAGAGAGUCCUUUU
This 331-nucleotide ribosomal RNA is filed under the name Rhabdolichops eastwardi. RNAcentral's name for it is "partial 12S ribosomal RNA". It matches the Rfam family "Bacterial small subunit ribosomal RNA", at positions 869 to 1363 of the family's 1533-position model. The record is from RNAcentral. Lineage: Eukaryota; Metazoa; Chordata; Actinopteri; Gymnotiformes; Sternopygidae.